CAAUAGCGUAUAUUAAAGUUGUUGCAGUUAAAAAGCUCGUAGUUGGAUUUCUGAUCGAGACAUCAGGUCGGGUCCGAGAGGAUCAUGUACUUUGAUUUUGUUUUGAUCAUCCUUGGGGAGAGCAUUUCUGGCAUUCAGUUGUCGGGAUUGGGAUCCUCAUCGUUUACUGUGAAAAAAUUAGAGUGUUCAAAGCAGGCCUCGGCCUCUGAAUACAUUAGCAUGGAAUAAUAAGAUAGGACUUUGGUGGUCUAUUUUGUUGGUUUGCACGCCAAAGUAAUGAUUAAUAGGGAUAGUUGGGGGUAUUCGUAUUCAAUUGUCAGAGGUGAAAUUCUUGGACUUAUGGAAGACGAACUACUGCGAAAGCAUUUACCAAGGAUGUUUUCAUUAA
This 388-nucleotide ribosomal RNA is filed under the name uncultured eukaryote. Its description in RNAcentral is "partial 18S ribosomal RNA". It matches the Rfam family "Eukaryotic small subunit ribosomal RNA", at positions 592 to 976 of the family's 1831-position model. The record is from RNAcentral.